Non-coding RNA from Lachnobacterium bovis, 74 nucleotides. The record is from Rfam. NCBI's taxonomy places the organism in Bacteria, Bacillati, Bacillota, Clostridia, Lachnospirales, Lachnospiraceae.
GUCUUCGUAGCUCAGUUGGAUAGAGCGCUCGCCUCCUAAGCGAGAGGCCGGAGGUUCGAAUCCUCUCGGGGACG